Molecule: long non-coding RNA, 955 nt
Filed under: Elaeis guineensis (African oil palm)
Lineage: Eukaryota; Viridiplantae; Streptophyta; Magnoliopsida; Arecales; Arecaceae
Description: long non-coding RNA (EGUI_LNC019991)
Source: RNAcentral
UAAAGUUGGAAUUUAGGGUCCUGCCAUGUGAUCUGUAAGGCUUUGUGGCCGUUGAGGAUGCCUACGUUACUAGUAGCAAUUUAAACAUAUGCAAGCAAGUUGCUCUAAAACAAAGAAAAAUUAAUUCUGGAGGUUUUAAUGACCCCAUACGCUGGCCCUAGUCAGAGAUUAAUGACGCGUCUCUUCUUGCUUUUUAAAGUGUUGAAUCUCUUUUAGGUGAGGUGUUAUGGUGACCAUAUGGUUGUGCCCUUGAAGGAAUGCGUGGUGACAAUUUAUAAGACUAAGGAAAAUAAGCUCCCACUAGGACUAUUGUUGGGCCAACAUAAUCACCAGUAAAUAAGACAAUGCUUUAAAUCUCUAUCAAACAAAGAAUCAAAUCCGUAAUAUGUACCCUAAAAUAAUUAAUAAAGAGUGUCUUGCAUAUCAAGUUCAAGCAUCCUUUGCACUAAUUGUAUUUCAUUCACAGCUUUCAGUGGAUGUUCUUUAACUUGAUUCACAUUAUAUGUUUCUUUUAGAUAGCAUUUCAACACCCUGCCACUUGAUUUGAGCUUGAAAAGAGAGCAAGGGUUAAAGUAUCGCUUGCCCAUGUAUGUCAACUGCUAGCAUGGUAUGCCUAUCAUGCUGAAUUGUGCAAGUCUGUUAAAAGAUAUGCUGCCCACGACUUUCCUUUAUAAUAUAGACCACAUUAACAUAUACAUAUGUUAUCGAACAUAUAUAGUUUGCAACUAAUAUAGUUUGCAACUAAUACGUAGAAAUUUAUAGUUUUAAGUCAUCUUAGAUAUCUUCACUUACCCUAUGUCUUGUUCGGGUUUUGAGGGGAAGAUGGAUAUGAUUGAAAGGAUGGAUGGUCUCCAUCUACCGUUUGAUUUAAAAGUUUUAGAGAGGUGGAUGAAAAAAGAGAAUUAUAAGUUUUAGAGAGGUGGAUGAAAAGGGAGGAUUAUUCAUUCAUUCUGCC